ACAUUCAUUAUCCUCUUUAAUUCUCUUAAGAAUUGUAUGAGCUGGGUGCGGUGGCUCAGGACUGUAAUUCCAGCUACAUGAGAGGAUUGCCUGAGGCCAGGAGUUUGAGACCAGCCUGAACAACAUAAUAGACUGGGAGCUCCAUGAGGUCCGAGACAACCUGAAGACGCCCAGCUCAGCAGAGACUGGCUACGGCAAUCACUCAGUAACUAUUUGUUGAAUUGGACAUAAUAGAAGAGCUGAAGAAUUUUAAACAAGUCACCAUCAGUGCAGUGGAUUCCUCAAAGCAAACCUGGAAAUCUCGGCAUGAGUUGGAUUUAAGGCAGUACAUUUUCAGCUCCUGAAAAUUUGAACAGUUUCUCAAGAGAACAACUUGAAACAGAAAGGCAAGGAUGUAGAUGUGGUUGUAGAAGAUGAUGUCUGCGGCCACCAAACUGUCCACUGUGAAGACAAACCAUGCAUGUUUAGUAGGCAGUGGCUCCUCUUCCC
This is a long non-coding RNA of Homo sapiens (human), 489 nucleotides long. Ensembl annotates it as long intergenic non-protein coding RNA 649. NCBI's taxonomy places the organism in Eukaryota, Metazoa, Chordata, Mammalia, Primates, Hominidae. The record is from Ensembl.